UACGGGGGGGGGCAAGCGUUGUUCGGAAUUACUGGGCGUAAAGGGCUCGUAGGCGGCCAACUAAGUCAUACGUGAAAUCCCUCGGCUUAACCGGGGGAACUGCGUCUGAUACUGGAUGGCUUGAGUUCGGGAGAGGGAUGCGGAAUUCCAGGUGUAGCGGUGAAAUGCGUAGAUAUCUGGAGGAACACCGGUGGCGAAGGCGGGUCUCUGGGCAACAACUGACGCUGAGGAGCGAAAGCGUGGGGGAGCGAACAGG
RNAcentral lists this ribosomal RNA (256 nucleotides) under uncultured bacterium. Its description in RNAcentral is "partial 16S ribosomal RNA". It matches the Rfam family "Bacterial small subunit ribosomal RNA", at positions 524 to 776 of the family's 1533-position model. The record is from RNAcentral.